GAUGAACGCUGGCGGCGUGCCUAAUACAUGCAAGUCGAGCGAACGGACGAGAAGCUUGCUUCUCUGAUGUUAGCGGCGGACGGGUGAGUAACACUUGGUUAACCUACCUAUAAGACUGGGAUAACUUCGGGAAACCGGAGCUAUUACCGGAUAAUAUUAUGAACCGCAUGGUUCAAAAGUGUAAGACGCUCUUGCUGUCACUUAUAGCUGUAUCCGCGCUGCAUUAGCUAGUUGGUAAGGUAACGGCUUACCAAGGCAACGAUGCAUAGCCGACCUGAGAGGGUGAUCGGCCACACUGGAACUGAGACACGGUCCAGACUCCUACGGGAGGCAGCAGUAGGGAAUCUUCCGCAAUGGGCGAAAGCCUGACGGAGCAACGCCGCGUGAGUGAUGAAGGUCUUCGGAUCGUAAAGCUCUGUUGUUAGGAAAGAACAUAUGUGUAAGUAACUGUGCACAUCUUGACGGUACCUAAUCAGAAAGCCACGGCUAACUACGUG
RNAcentral lists this ribosomal RNA (497 nucleotides) under uncultured bacterium. Its description in RNAcentral is "partial 16S ribosomal RNA". It matches the Rfam family "Bacterial small subunit ribosomal RNA", at positions 28 to 507 of the family's 1533-position model. The record is from RNAcentral.